RNAcentral lists this long non-coding RNA (205 nucleotides) under Mytilus galloprovincialis (Mediterranean mussel). The record is from RNAcentral. Lineage: Eukaryota; Metazoa; Mollusca; Bivalvia; Mytilida; Mytilidae.
GUUUGGAGAAAUUUAAACAUAAAUAAAAAGCAAUUUACAUGGAGAAGAAAGGAUAAAUCACAAGCUAGUAGACUAGACAUGAUUUUUAUUGGGUCAGAAUUUUUACCUCUUAUAGAAUGGUGUAAAAUUAAACCGGCUGUUGCUAUACAGUCCACUGAUCACCAAAGUGUAUUUUUAAAAUUUAAGCCAGGGUUAUCAGAAAGGG